Molecule: RNA transcript, 2903 nt
Organism: Salvelinus namaycush (lake trout)
Lineage: Eukaryota; Metazoa; Chordata; Actinopteri; Salmoniformes; Salmonidae
Gene name: ADP-ribosylation factor-related protein 1-like
Exons: 7
Source: RefSeq, a predicted model, not a curated record
UCCCACAAUGCAUUGCUUUGUGACUUCAUAAAUUCAGGUGGCCACCGUGUUUACUAAAAUGAGACGAGAUAAAAUACGAUACCUCUGUCAAAGUAGAUAUAGCAUGAUGUCAUGUUGUGGAGAUAGCUAGCGUGCCCAUGAUCUUCUUAUGCGAUUCGUGAGUUGCUGAAAUUGUCCGCUAGCAAAUAUAUGUUUAUACUCGUCUGCGGCAUUAACGUCUUGAGAUAUACAGCUAUAAAAGUUAGCAUUAGCAAGCUACUGUAGUUAGCCAACUAUUUGUGCCUUGAUUGGCGCAUUAGUUAUAUUUUACUUCAGUGUUUGGUGUCAGGUCAGCUAGCUAGUAUCGAUUACGAACUAGUAACGUUAGCUAACUUGCCUCAAACCACAGGUAACGUUAGCUAGCUAAACAGCUAGUCAGGUAACAGUUAGCUAAUUCGACUUGUUAACUCUGGCUAGCCUCACAGCUGGAUCUUUCCACGAUGUGAGUUGGUGCUCGCCUUGCGCAUCAGCUAGUGUUUGUUUACAAUCCUAAAAUGUACACCUUAUUAUCUGGUCUGUACAAAUACGUGUUCCAGAAGGACGAAUACUGCAUCUUGAUCCUAGGACUGGACAAUGCAGGAAAAACGACAUUUCUGGAACAGACUAAGACCAAGUUCAGUAAGAACUACAAGGGAAUGAAUUUGUCCAAAAUCACCACUACAGUUGGACUAAACAUCGGCACAAUCGAUGUGGGCAAGGCUCGUCUAAUGUUCUGGGACCUUGGUGGUCAAGAGGAGCUUCAGUCGCUGUGGGACAAAUACUAUGCUGAGUCCCACGGAGUGAUCUAUGUGAUAGACUCCACCGAUGAGGAGCGCCUAUCAGAAUCAAAAGAGGCCUUUGAGAAAAUGAUCAGCAGUGAGGUUUUGGAAGGUGUGCCUCUCCUGGUGCUCGCCAACAAGCAGGAUGUGGAGAACUGCAUGUCUGUGCCAGACAUCAAAACUGCUUUUAGCGACUGCGCUCCAAAGAUUGGGAAAAGAGAUUGCCUGGUGCAGCCUUGCACAGCCCUAACCGGGUAAGAACAGAGUCCGCAUUACUCUGUUGUAUAUCGGGUCUGAGAUUGCCUGGUGCAGCCUUGCACAGCCCUAACCGGGCAGGGGGUUAACGAAGGCAUUGAGUGGAUGGUGAAGUGCGUCAUCAGAAACAUUCACCGGACACCGAGACAGAAGGACAUCACAUAGAACAAGCCAUGACCUUCCCAACUCCAGAGCUCCCACAACCAGGAGGUAUUCAUUAGGCACCAAAUGGUAGAAAGCAGACUGAAACAGGGAGGGACUAUAUGGACUUACUGUCUAAUAUGAACGGUUUUCGAUUGAAAUACAACCUUAAUGAAUACGAACGACCCAGGUGUCCCUUUUACUACAAUGUGACUUCCAGAAACCGUGAUGAACUCUACCCAAGCCCUGGCUCCCUGUCCUCUUAUUUGGGUGCUCUGAACUCAUUUAGUUUUCAGAUGCAGCUUAGCGUCAGGGGGAUACAAUUGGGGAUACAAUUGAUUAUUGUGUAUUAUUUGGAUAUGUACCUUGAGGUGUAAAGCUUUUGAAGGCUUUUUCCUUUUCGCCUCAGCUAAUGUGUGUCUUUCUGACCAAACUAUUAUAGCGUCAUCAUGUCGUUAAAGUUUCUCCCUGGCUCUCAGUACCUCCCUUCGGUAAUAUAAUUCCAGGACCUCUAUUCAUAAAGCAUCUCUGAAUAGGGGUACUGAUCUAGGAUCAGUUUAGCCUUUUAGAUCAUAAAGAAUCAGAUUUAUAUGGAUUAUAUUACUCUCAACCCAAUUAGGUUUAGUAGUCUAUCAUUUAACGGUCAAGAGGAUGAAACAUGACAACUUUAUGAUUCAUAUUAUGCAAAGACACUACAUGUAAUGGAAUUGUACAUUGUAACAGAGGGUCAACGAUAUAUUCAUAGACGGGAAAUACUAGUUUUAGAGUUCGAAAUGCCGUGUGGUGUUUGUGUAUGGUUGAGUACCAAAUGGCACCGCAUAGGGCUCUGGUCAAUAGUAGUGCACUGUAUAGGGAAUAGGAUGCCAUUUGGGACACGCCCUCUCUUUUCACUCUGUCAGUCUAACCUGGUGACAUAUGUAAAGUAACGCCGAUGAUCAGGCUGAAAACGUAUUUUAAUUACAGUAUGAGGAAGAUUAUGUAAUAAACAUUUCAGAACAGUUAACUGUAGUUUGACUUUAGUUCUUAGAUUUCUGUUGAUGUGAUGAAUACAUGUAUAGAAUGUCAGCAUUUUUCUUUUUUUAAGGAGAUCGGAAAUUCCGGUUCCUUUUUUUAUGAUAUUUUUUCUGAGACAGACCACUAGGAAGGUAGAGUGGGAUACACAUGAAGAGGGGAAAACCGUCAUGAUGGGAUUCAAACCCUCGUCACCAGGGUAAUGGUAAUACUUUAUCAGUUGAAGUUAGUUGAUUUUUUUCAUCAAAAUGUUCUUACUCACCUGCAUGUAAUACCCACUGGAAAAUGUAUUAAGUUAUAACUUUUUCUCGAUAACGUAAUUACGUUCUGUUCAAGUUCAACAUGUUUAUUAUGCUAUCUGGUGAUGUAUUACGUAAAAUAAGAUAACGUAUUCCAUUACGGCAAGUUAUGCCGUGUUACUGCGUUAUCCGUUGUUCCAGGGUGUAAACUUGUUUGAAUACAUUUGACCACCAAUCUCUUAUUAUAGACCUUACUUAUACAACUGCUUGCAUUCCUAAAUAUUGGACUGAGUGAGGGAGUGGUGGUCUCCCAUUGCUUUAUUCAAACAUAUUGAUUCCACUUCACAAGGUCCCUGGAUCUAUCUAUUUGACUUAGUGCCUUCAGAAAAUGUUCAUACUCCUUGACUUAUACCACAUUUUGUUGAGUUCAACAUGGAUUAAAUGUGUUUUUUCUCAUUCA